This is a non-coding RNA of Dipodomys ordii (Ord's kangaroo rat), 103 nucleotides long. The record is from Rfam. NCBI's taxonomy places the organism in Eukaryota, Metazoa, Chordata, Mammalia, Rodentia, Heteromyidae.
AUUUACUGGGAUUAAGAGACAACCAAAAUCGACGAUACAGAGAAGAUUAGCAUGGCCCUUGUGCAAGGAUGACAAGCAAAUUCUUGAAGCGUUCCAUAUUUAA